UGGCCUUGACAUGUAUCUAGUAGAAGGGUGAAAGCCUGACGAGGUAGCAAUACCAGGAUACACAGGUGCUGCAUGGCUGUCGUCAGCUCGUGUCGUGAGAUGUUGGGUUAAGUCCCGCAACGAGCGCAACCCCCAUGUCCUGUUGCCACCCGAACGAGAGUUUGGAGCACUCUGGACAGACUGCCUCGCUCAAACGAGGAGGAAGGUGGGGAUGACGUCUUGGAAGCAAGCU
RNAcentral lists this unclassified non-coding RNA (232 nucleotides) under uncultured Verrucomicrobiae bacterium. RNAcentral describes it as "contains 16S-23S intergenic spacer region". It matches the Rfam family "Bacterial small subunit ribosomal RNA", at positions 976 to 1200 of the family's 1533-position model. The record is from RNAcentral. Lineage: Bacteria; Pseudomonadati; Verrucomicrobiota; Verrucomicrobiia.